GUCAAAGGUUCUCCAUCUGUCUCUGUGAUCAUCUCUGGGAAUAGAGGUUUUCUUCUUCUCACCCUGGGGGUAAAGGGUCUUCAUCAAUCUCAGCUCUCUCUCUGUUCAUGCUUCUCAUGGGAUCACAGCUACUCCAACAUCUGCUUGACUUCAUCGGUAGAUGCCUCUGCUCACAUCUUCAUGUCCCCAUAGUUUCUCAUUAAUAAAAGGGGAUAUUUCAGUGUAUCAUAGUCGAUCUCCAUGGCCUUACCAAAAGUGCUUUCAGCCCCACUGCUAGGGCAUCUCCUCAUUCUCUUUCCGUCUGAAACUUGACUCCUUCUUCACUGACCUUGGCGUCUUCCUGAUAUAUUUUCUGUGCCUUCACUCUAUCUUUCCUCUCCCUGCAGAGAGGAUCAAAGUCUGCAGGUCUCAUCUGCACAGUGAAAGGGUCAGUAUCUCACCGAGGCCUGCAGAAGGUUAUGGGCAGUGGUGGAAGCAGUCUCAGUGAUGGAUUUCAGGCCGUGCUGGGCCCCUCCCUCUGCCCGGCAGCCGCUGGGGCCACAGAGGGGGCCUGGCCCAUCCAGGAGCCGCUUCCAGGGCCCGGCAAAGCCCGUCUCAGCGUGGGCUGGCGGCGGGGGCAGGGCUUGGUGUCAGCAGGGUGUCAGCAGCUGUGAACCAGCCCAGCCUCGGCCGGGGCCCUGCGGCCUCCCGUCCCCCGUCCAGCCACGGCUGGGGCCCAGCCCGGCCCUGCCUGACCACACAGCCCGCAGCGGAGCAGGGCCGGAGAUUUCCCAGAAGUUCCUCUAAUAUCCAAGCUGUGUAGCAAUCUCCACAGAUUCUCAUGCUGCUUUCACAAAAAUUCCAUUGACAAUGUUCUCCCCAGAAAGCCUUUGGCAAGAUCAAAAGAAUUCAGCAGAUUCAAAAUCAACUGAAUCAGGGUAAUAUGCAGGAAAAGCCACUGAAGAAAAAGUUCUCUGCAACCAGGCAGUGAUCCUACACCUCUUCAAUACAAAUAUUUCACUUAGACUGCAAAAGGAUAGUUUUACCCUGCAUCUUCAGGGGCAGACUAGAUGACUUAAUGAAGAUCUUCUCCUUCUAAAACUUCUGUGGUUCUCAUUCUGGUUUGCUAAGGCAUUUUAAUCUCAACUGUCUUCUAAAUGAGGGAUUCAUGAAUAUGAGAACUUAAAAGAAUAAACAUGACAAGUCAUGGCAAGAUUUUGAAAAGCCUUAUCUGCUGUUGACCUCUAGAUUUGAUAAAAUGAAGAAAUAAUUUUUUUGUUUGUUUUUUUUGUUUUCAAAUAAAUAGCUGAUUUAUUUUGACCUUUGGUCUAAAAAUCAAUGUUAGAUUUUCAAUAUUUGCAGCAUGCCCUGAUGUUUAAUAAGAGUAGACAGAGUUUGAGAGGGGAAAUGCAAAUCUAGAAAUGAAAAAUUUGCUCCUGGUUAAUUUAUAUGGCAAAACAAAGUAUUAGUUCUUUGAUUUGUCAAUUUAUCAUUGUGUUGAAAAAGUGGUAGCUAAAUAUUUCAGGUAGAGUCUGAGAGAGCAAGAGCUGCGCACACUGAACAAGAACACAUAAGUGUGGAUUAGUUGAAUGAACAUAAUUCAUAGAAGACAGAGACUAAUCUGGGAGGGUAUAAUCUUUUCCCAUCCAAUGAGAUGGUGUAGCAUUAAGUGGCUGAGAGCAGAGAUGCAAUUUUUGGGUAAACCAAUUUUUUUUGGGGUAAACCUGUGCUGUGCUGCUAUAGGAAAAGGCACUUACCAGAACAGUUGUGAAUAAUUUUUAAAUUGUGAAUAAUUAUAAAACCAAUAAGUGACCUGAAUAAUAAUUAAUCCAACAGAAAGGAUAUGUUUUGUUCAAAAAUAUUGUAAUUUCCAGAAACCAUUUGGUGUAGCUGGUUUCUGAUUUUAGUUCCUCCAUUUCUUUCUGUCAUUUUUCCAUUCCACCAGUGAAGAAAGGAAAAGUAAACUAAA
Parus major (Great Tit) is the source of this 1948-nucleotide long non-coding RNA. RefSeq lists it as uncharacterized. The transcript has 3 exons. The record is from RefSeq and is a predicted model, not a curated record. NCBI's taxonomy places the organism in Eukaryota, Metazoa, Chordata, Aves, Passeriformes, Paridae.